Molecule: ribosomal RNA, 430 nt
Filed under: uncultured bacterium
Lineage: Bacteria
Description: bacterial SSU rRNA
Rfam family: Bacterial small subunit ribosomal RNA
Source: RNAcentral
ACGAACGCUGGCGGCAUGCCUAACACAUGCAAGUCGAACGAGACCUUCGGGUCUAGUGGCGCACGGGUGCGUAACGCGUGGGAAUCUGCCCCUCGGUUCGGAAUAACAGUGAGAAAUUGCUGCUAAUACCGGAUAAUGACUUCGGUCCAAAGAUUUAUUGCCGAGGGAUGAGCCCGCGUAGGAUUAGCUAGUUGGUGGGGUAAUGGCCUACCAAGGCGACGAUCCUUAGCUGGUCUGAGAGGAUGAUCAGCCACACUGGGACUGAGACACGGCCCAGACUCCUACGGGAGGCAGCAGUGGGGAAUAUUGCGCAAUGGGGGAAACCCUGACGCAGCGACGCCGCGUGGGUGAAGAAGGCCUUAGGGUUGUAAAGCCCUUUCAGUGGGAAAGAUUGUGACGGUACCCACAGAAGAAGCUCCGGCUAACUCCG